This 489-nucleotide ribosomal RNA is filed under the name uncultured bacterium. Its description in RNAcentral is "partial 16S ribosomal RNA". It matches the Rfam family "Bacterial small subunit ribosomal RNA", at positions 29 to 507 of the family's 1533-position model. The record is from RNAcentral.
AUUGAACGCUGGCGGCAGGCCUAACACAUGCAAGUCGAACGGUAAAGGGAAGAGGCUGGCGGCUUGCUGAAGAGGGGCGGGAGGGGGGGGAAUGUCUGGGGAAACGGCCGGAGGAGGGGGGUAAAUACCUGAAAAGGUAGGCAAAUACGGAUUAAGGCGCCAGACCAAAGGGGGGGGACCUAAGGGCUCCUGGCAUUGGAUGUGGCCAGAUGGGGUUAGCUAGUAGGUGGGGUAACGGCUCACCUAGGCGACGAUCCCUAGCUGGUCUGAGAGGAUGACCAGCCACACUGGAACUGAGACACGGUCCAGACUCCUACGGGAGGCAGCAGUGGGGAAUAUUGCACAAUGGGCGCAAGCCUGAUGCAGCCAUGCCGCGUGUAUGAAGAAGGCCUUCGGGUUGUAAAGUACUUUCAGCGGGGAGGAAGGGAGUAAAGUUAAUACCUUUGCUCAUUGACGUUACCCGCAGAAGAAGCACCGGCUAACUCCGUG